AAUCUUGCGCAAUGGGCGAAAGCCUGACGCAGCCAUGCCGCGUGAAUGAUGAAGGNCUNNGGAUUNUNAAAUUCUUUCACCGGNNNNNAUAAUGACGGUCCCCGGAGAAGAAGACCCGGCUAACUUCGUGCCAGCAGCCGCGGGAAUACGAAGGGGGCUAGCGUUGCUCGGAAUUACUGGGCGUAAAGGGAGCGUAGGCAGACAUUUAAGUCAGGGGUGAAAUCCCAGAGCUCAACUCUGGAACUGCCUUUGAUACUGGGUGUCUUGAGUGUGAGAGAGGUAUGUGGAACUCCGAGUGUAGAGGUGAAAUUCGUAGAUAUUCGGAAGAACACCAGUGGCGAAGGCGACAUACUGGCUCAUUACUGACGCUGAGGCGCGAAAGCGUGGGGAGCGAACAG
Molecule: ribosomal RNA, 398 nt
Filed under: uncultured bacterium
Lineage: Bacteria
Description: partial 16S ribosomal RNA
Rfam family: Bacterial small subunit ribosomal RNA
Source: RNAcentral